UGUAGUAAUGAGUCCUUCUUACUGAAUUUGUUACAUAUUUAAUGCCACCCUGCAGGUUUAAGGACAUGCCAGAAAUCCAGAUUCGAGGCUGCAGAAAUCUUGUGAGUUGUCUCCAAUUGCUUAGCAUUAUUGGCGCAUUCAAAUAUUUUAGUAUUUAACAUGUAUGAAUGAUGUUUAUGAUGACAUGGCUGCAUUUCCACCGAAUAAGAGCGAAGGUCCGUUAUGCAUGGGCUUGGAAGAACCAUGAUGGAAAUGUAUAGAAUGAUUUCAUAGCUCGAGUUCUGCACUUGUGAAUUUGUGUAUGUAUUGCCGGAGUCAAAAGUAAUUUUGGUAAGUUAUGGAUCUAUAACUUUUGAAAACUAGAGUAGGAAUGAUAUGUUCUAGUCACCAUGUGUAAUUCCUUUCCCUGUAUUUUCAGGUUGUCAGUCUCUUGGUUUAAUUUCACCAAUACUGUUAUAUAUGCCUAUAGUAAAUUUGUUGGCUUGUCAGGAUAAAAAUCCCUAUCUCUAGAUUUCUAUAUAAUCAACUCUAGCUUUAUUUUUACCCAUCCACUAUGAUACAUGGUAAGAGCACAAGACUUGGUAGUUCUACAAUAUGCAUUUUGAAUGUGGUUCCUUCCCAUAUCGAGGGUUUCAAGUGCAUUCUGAACAAGAGAAGAUUUUGCGUUCAUUUUGGUUGAAUGUAACCACAAUCCUGAACUCUGACUACCUGUGCUUAUUGAUAAACCUUCUGUAACAAUUUAUUUGGUGUGAAUUGUUCUAUAUAAUUCUUCGGUUAUUUUUUGCUUUAUCUGUUGAUUAUCAAGUCUUUAUAUUUUGAAAUUGUUUUUUUCCCCUUUCAAACAUCAUUGCCAUGUGGUCUAUAGUGUUCAGCUCUAAGGUAUCACUGAUUGAAAUGGCAGUUCCAAUCCUUGCAACUGUGAUAGGGUGUCUGGUUGCUAGUCUCAUGGCUUUUCUUAACGGGGAAUAGCUUCUGUAUCUGGGGCUUUUGGCAAUAGCAUCCCGUGAAAGUCUUUCUUUUGUCAAUAACCAACUUAUUAUCUAGUUUAAAUAUGCGACCUGCACUGCCUGUGGUACACAAAAUAUUUCUCUUUAUUUUUCUAGUUGAGCUCCAGUACAUCAUUGGUCCGAGUCCGAACAAAUCCGACACGAAGCCCGAACAGUGUCAGCACUCCACCGGAAGCGGAUAAAGUUCUUUGAAAGGAUGAGGCUCUUUGACUUGAAUCUUUUCGAUUCUUGUCUCUUUGUUCUGCAUCAGAACAUUGCUAGCGGCACUCUUUGUCCUCAAACUCACGGUCUCCAACUGCCGCUGCAGCCGGCGGAGGAAAAGAUUUCCUUCCCUUGCUUCUCCCGUCCCCCACACCCUCUAAUUCCUUGGAAUCCCUCGCCCCCGGAGGUGUGACUUCUUUGAGUAGGCGGAAGAUGGCUUGGGAUGUCCAGAGGUCUUAGUGGGUCGUUGGAGUCAUCAUCUUGUAGCGACAGCCUUUACAAGUAUGCAAUGAAAGAACUUGUGGGUGCCUCAGUUUAGGGUCAGGAAUGUGAAGUUUUGGAGACGAUAUGAGGAGAACCACCAUGAGGAAGGG
This 1582-nucleotide long non-coding RNA is filed under the name Elaeis guineensis (African oil palm). RNAcentral describes it as "long non-coding RNA (EGUI_LNC019450)". Lineage: Eukaryota; Viridiplantae; Streptophyta; Magnoliopsida; Arecales; Arecaceae. The record is from RNAcentral.